GAUGAAGCAGCUGUGUGCAGUGAAGGAACACCAGCUGUCAGUCUCACAUGGUCUCAGCAUCAAUAUUCCUUUCUGAAUUCCAUCAUAUCGCCGGGAACACAAUCCUCCUGUCGUCGCAUGCAAUCUUUUUUUUUUUUUUCCAUAACCGAUGCAGCAGUUUGGUCCCAUCUUAAAGUAAAAUGAGUGCAGCCUACACAAAUCCAAUAAUUCACCAUGAUGAAAAAUAUAAAAUGCAAAAUAAACUUUCAAAAAAGACUCAACAAUUGACUACUACACAGCUUACUGAGGCAGUCAGAAAAGCUUAACAAAGAGUUUAUAAAGUGGUGUGAGUGGCAUCCGUAGGUGUCUCUAGAGAAGUCAAUAAAAACUGACCAGUAUCUGAAGAUAGAAGGUCAAUAUUUGAUAAUAUGUCACAUGGACAAGGUUAAUAUAAACUGAAUAAUCACACUGGUUUGUGAAAUCCUGAAUAAUGCUUGUAUUGGGUGGUUGGCUUUCUGGUUCAGGAGCCAAUAAAUAGAAUAAGGAAGGACAUCAGAGCACUGUUCCCUCUAAGCUGCGCGCGUGCGCAAUUGCGCACUGCUGACACGGUCUCCAUGCACAGAAAAAAAGAAAUCCAACCUAAAUUGUAAAUAAAAUAAACACGUAACAAUUCAUUCUGUGCUAUUUUUCAGUGUGAGUCAGUGAGUGGCCGGUGACUGGCUGCUGCGGCCAAUGAUGCGAUUCACAUACGUAUUUACCAUAGACUGUAUAUAAUGGUAUUUACGCAGCUAAUCAACGUCAGGCGUCCUUAUGUGCAGCCAUCGUUGUUGUCAUAGAUAUGAAUUAGUAGAUAGGACACGCCCCUUUGAGCUGCGUGCUACAGCGAGGCUAAGCUAGUGGGGGCACAGUUUCAGUGCAUUCUGUUGAUGUAGACGGCGUGAAAACGGAAACAACAAGUAUGCCGGCUCACUGUGCUGCAUACAGUUACACACUACGCCGUACGAUUGAGACAAGGAAACUUGGAAUGACUUUUCAUAGGUUUCCCAGAGACUAUGGGUUGAGGAGGAAUUGGAAGUUUGUCGGCUUAGACCUGGUGUCAUUCCAUCAGUGUUAAACUUCCCGGCUCAUCUUGGAAGAGUACGUGCCAGAAAGACCACGACCAAGCAGCCUUGAGAUCUUAGGCAGCGUCUCCCUGAGGUCCCUCUCUAUCUCCCCACACAUCCACCAACCACUGGAACACAUCUCCAAAGUUCUGCAGGGCCAGCUCAGCUUCCCCUCAGAAGAAGUGCCGCCACCUGCCAGAUGAAGGAGCCUUUUGAGAGGCAGCUGGCAUCGUGAUUGGACUGUACUUUGGUCUGUUCCAAUCCAGCUUCAGCUCCAGAGACGGCAGGCGGGACGAGUCAACGGAGGCCUGGUGGACGAAGGCAUGCAGCUGAGUACAAUCCAGAAAACAACAGAGGAGGAGUGCAGUGGCCCAGGGCCAGAACAACCAGAGUAGCAUCGUAUGUCUCUUAGAAAACAUCAUAGUAUAGCCUUUGGUAUGAAAAAACGCCAUCAUAUACAUCGUAUAUUGUACAAAUAACAAGUCAAAGGAAAGAGACAUACAUUGUAGAAUUGUAGUAAUUGUGGGCUGACUGAUUUACUGAUUAUCAGUAUUUUAUUUUUUACUGAUUUACG
This is a long non-coding RNA of Amphiprion ocellaris (clown anemonefish), 1656 nucleotides long. NCBI's taxonomy places the organism in Eukaryota, Metazoa, Chordata, Actinopteri, Pomacentridae. The record is from Ensembl.